This 253-nucleotide ribosomal RNA is filed under the name uncultured bacterium. RNAcentral's name for it is "partial 16S ribosomal RNA". It matches the Rfam family "Bacterial small subunit ribosomal RNA", at positions 524 to 776 of the family's 1533-position model. The record is from RNAcentral.
UACAGAGGGUGCGAGCGUUGUUCGGAAUUAUUGGGCGUAAAGGGCGCGUAGGCGGUGCGGUAAGUCACCUGUGAAAUCUCCUGGCUCAACUGGGAGCUUGCAGGCGAAACUGCCGUGCUGGAGUGUGGGAGAGGUGCGUGGAAUUCCCGGUGUAGCGGUGAAAUGCGUAGAUAUCAGGAGGAACACCGGUGGCGAAGGCGGGUCUCUGGGCCGAUACUGACGCUGAGGAGCGAAAGCGUGGGGAGCGAACAGG